RNAcentral lists this ribosomal RNA (663 nucleotides) under Triticum aestivum (bread wheat). RNAcentral's name for it is "partial small subunit ribosomal RNA". Lineage: Eukaryota; Viridiplantae; Streptophyta; Magnoliopsida; Poales; Poaceae. The record is from RNAcentral.
AUGACUAAGGUCCACGGUUCUUUGGCGGCCGUCGGAUGCCACACUGCAAAACUGCAGAGUGGUAUGCUAGAAAGAAGGAGACUACUGUUGAUUCCUGCAAUUAGUCUCACCAUUGGCUCCCUUCAGUACAGUCUGGAGAAGGGAGCAGCAAAAGCUGAAUUUACUGACAUGCCAGCGCUUCGUGGGAAGGAUUAUGGGAAGACGAAAAUGAGUUACCCAGAUUACACUGAAACAGAAUCAGGCCUCCAAUACAAGGACUUGCGGGUUGGAGAGGGCCCAUCCCCAAAGAAGGGAGAGACAGUAGUGAUUGAUUGGGAUGGGUACACAAUUGGAUACUACGGGCGCAUUUUUGAAGCUCGAAACAAGACCAAAGGUGGUUCGUUUGAGGGUGGUGAUAAAGAAUUCUUCAAGUUCAAGUUUGGAUCAGGACAGGUAAUACCAGCCUUUGAGGAGGCUAUGACAGGCAUGCGGCCAGGUGGAGUUAGAAGGAUAAUAGUAUCACCGGAUAUUGGAUACCCAGAUAAUGACUUGAACAAGUUAGGCCCAAAACCAACAACAUUUUCGGGACAAAGAGCUCUAGAUUUCGUUCUAAGGAAUCAAGGAUUAAUAGAUAAAACUCUCCUGUUUGACAUUGAGCUUAUCAGAAUAAUUCCAAGUCAAUAG